GAUGAACGCUAGCUACAGGCUUAACACAUGCAAGUCGAGGGGCAGCAUGGAGUUUUCUUCGGAAGACUUUGAUGGCGACCGGCGCACGGGUGAGUAACGCGUAUCGAACCUGCCUCAUACUCGGGAAUAGCCUUGCGAAAGUAAGAUUAAUGCCCGAUGUUCUUGGUGUUCCGCAUGAGGCGCCAAGCGAAGAUUCAUCGGUAUGAGAUGGCGAUGCGUCCCAUUAGCUUGUUGGCGGGGUAACGGCCCACCAAGGCAUCGACGGGUAGGGGGUCUGAGAGGAAGGCCACCCACAUAGGAACUGCGACACGGUCCAAACUCCUACGGGAGGCAGCAGUGAGGAAUAUUGGUCAAUGGACGGAAGUCUGAACCAGCCAAGUAGCGUGCAGGAAGACGGCCCUCCGGGUUGUAAACUGCUUUUAGUUGGGAAUAAACCGCGGGACGUGUCCCGCCUUGUAUGUACCAUCAGAAAAAGGACCGGCUAAUUCCGUGCCAGCAGCCGCCGUAA
RNAcentral lists this ribosomal RNA (508 nucleotides) under uncultured bacterium. RNAcentral's name for it is "partial 16S ribosomal RNA". It matches the Rfam family "Bacterial small subunit ribosomal RNA", at positions 28 to 523 of the family's 1533-position model. The record is from RNAcentral.